GGGCUGAUGGCGAAAUCCGGUAUCGCGCUCCGCUGGCAGUGGAGAGACUGCGGGUUCAAAUCCCGCUCAGUCCA
This 74-nucleotide transfer RNA is filed under the name Candidatus Woesearchaeota archaeon. RNAcentral describes it as "tRNA-Ala". It matches the Rfam family "tRNA". Rfam says of the family: Transfer RNA (tRNA) molecules are approximately 80 nucleotides in length. Their secondary structure includes four short double-helical elements and three loops (D, anti-codon, and T loops). Further hydrogen bonds mediate the characteristic L-shaped molecular structure. tRNAs have two regions of fundamental functional importance: the anti-codon, which is responsible for specific mRNA codon recognition, and the 3' end, to which the tRNAs corresponding amino acid is attached (by aminoacyl-tRNA synthetases). tRNAs cope with the degeneracy of the genetic code in two manners: having more than one tRNA (with a specific anti-codon) for a particular amino acid; and 'wobble' base-pairing, i.e. permitting non-standard base-pairing at the 3rd anti-codon position. The record is from RNAcentral. Lineage: Archaea; Nanobdellati; Candidatus Woesearchaeota.